UGGGGAAUAUUGGGCAAUGGGGGCAACCCUGACCCAGCGACGCCGCGUGAAGGACGAAGGCAUUCGUGUUGUAAACUUCUUUGGAGAGGGACGAAGAUGACGGUACCUCUCGAACAAGCCACGGCUAACUACGUGCCAGCAGCCGCGGUAAUACGUAGGUGGCAAGCGUUAUCCGGAAUUACUGGGUGUAAAGGGCGCGCAGGCGGCCCUGCAAGUCGGAUGUGAAAGAUCAAGGCUCAACCUUGACAGGCCAUUCGAAACUGUGGGACUUGAGUGUCAGAGGGGAAAGUGGAAUUCCUAGUGGAGCGGUAAAAUGCGCAGAUAUUAGGAGGAACACCGGUGGCGAAGGCGACUUUCUGGCUGACAACUGACGCUGAGGCGCGAAAGCGUGGGGAGCAAACAG
RNAcentral lists this ribosomal RNA (403 nucleotides) under uncultured organism. RNAcentral describes it as "bacterial SSU rRNA". It matches the Rfam family "Bacterial small subunit ribosomal RNA", at positions 355 to 775 of the family's 1533-position model. The record is from RNAcentral.